RNAcentral lists this non-coding RNA (145 nucleotides) under Terrimicrobium sacchariphilum. RNAcentral's name for it is "SAM-I sequence". It matches the Rfam family "SAM riboswitch aptamer (S box leader)". From Rfam's summary of the family: The SAM riboswitch is found upstream of a number of genes which code for proteins involved in methionine or cysteine biosynthesis in Gram-positive bacteria. The SAM riboswitch acts at the level of transcription termination control. Lineage: Bacteria; Pseudomonadati; Verrucomicrobiota; Terrimicrobiia; Terrimicrobiales; Terrimicrobiaceae. The record is from RNAcentral.
UUCUUAUCGAGAGUGGCGGAGGGACUGGCCCUGUGAUGCCACGGCAACCGCUUCCAGCCGAGCAGAGCACUCAAGCUCUCCGAGGCGGGAAGGCCCAGGUGCCAAAUCCUGCUCUGGCGCGAAAGCGUCGGGGAAAAGAUGAGGA